Molecule: long non-coding RNA, 1120 nt
Organism: Engraulis encrasicolus (European anchovy)
Lineage: Eukaryota; Metazoa; Chordata; Actinopteri; Clupeiformes; Engraulidae
Exons: 4
Source: RefSeq, a predicted model, not a curated record
GAAAAAAUCCUACCGUGGACAGACUUUCCACCGUUUCCACAAAGAGCAGGCACUUCGCCGUGAAUGUAUAAAUCAAAUCAAGAGGGAUCCUGGUCCAUAUUUCAAGAUCAACGCUGAGACCAAGGUUUGCUCUGAGCACUUUGAGAAGCAGUGUUUUGUAAAGACCGCCCGUUGAAUCACAAAGCUUAUAAAGGAUGCUGUGCCAACUUUGUUCGCCUGGACUUAAGAGAGGCCAAAGAGGAGAAUCAUCAUUCGCAGACCGAGUACGGAUUCCAUGGAGGUGGAUGAAAACCAGCCUGAUGAGAACCAACCUGAUGUGAGAAGGGAUGCCUUGAGCACAGAUGUACCUCCUCCACACCCGUACCAUGAUUAUGCUGUUCCACCGCUGACACCAGAGGAACAACUUGAGGCGGCUCGCAAGCACAUCAUUGAGCAAGACAAGUUAAUAGCACAACUCAAAGAUAAAGUGUUCAGUGUGUCAAGAUUCCAGUGUGAUGAUAGUCCGAUGUCAUUUUACACAGGAUUCCCAGACUAUGCCACCUUUAAAGCUGUAUAUAUGGCUCUACAGCCCACAGCCACAAGCAUGGUAGGAUGGAGUCAGGCUCAAAGGCUUAGACAAACAGAGGUACAGGUCAUUAGACAGGCAUUUAAUAUCUCCAAACUAGCAACUAUGGACCAGUUCUUUCUCUGUUGCCUCAGACAGGGGUUUGCUGAGCAGGACCUUGCGGUGCGCUUUGGUGUGUCACAGUCAACUGUGAGCAGAAUCUGUCACCUGGGCUAACUAUCGAUACUUCAUGUUAGGAUCUCUCCCCAUUUGGCCUUCAAAAGCCACAGUAGAUGAAUGUAUGCCUACUUGUUUUCAAAACACUUACCCAGACACCAGAGUCAUUCUAGACUGUACAGAAAUAUAUGUGCAAAUGCUUAGUUUGAAGGUACUUAACUCCAAAAUCUAUUCCCAUUACAAGGGCAACCCAAAUUUCAAAGGCCUGAUUGGAAUUGCCCCGUCUGGUGAGGUGUCAUUCGUUAGUGACCUGUACACAGGCUUCAUAUCCGAGAAGGAGAUUACAGAAUUGUCCGGCAUCCUAGCAAAAUUUUAUGGCGUCAUACCCAUGACACUAGU